GAUGAAGAACGCAGCGAAAUGCGAUACGUAAUGUGAAUUGCAAAUUCAGUGAAUCAUCGAGUCUUUGAACGCACAUUGCGCUCCCUGGUAUUCCGGGGGGCAUGCCUGUCCGAGCGUCAUUGCUGCCCUCAAGCACGGCUUGUGUGUUGGGCCCCGUCCUCCGAUCCCGGGGGACGGGCCCGAAAGGCAGCGGCGGCACCGCGUCCGGUCCUCGAGCGUAUGGGGCUUUGUCACCCGCUCUGUAGGCCCGGCCGGCGCUUGCCGAUCAACCCAAAUUUUUAUCCAGGUUGACCUCGGAUCAGGUAGGGAUACCCGCUGAACUUAAGCAUAUCAAUAAGCGGAGGA
This 345-nucleotide unclassified non-coding RNA is filed under the name soil metagenome. RNAcentral describes it as "partial contains 5.8S ribosomal RNA, internal transcribed spacer 2, and large subunit ribosomal RNA". The stretch from base 1 to 119 matches the Rfam family "5.8S ribosomal RNA", at positions 35 to 154 of the family's 154-position model. The record is from RNAcentral.